UGGCAUCAGGAAUUAAGGACACCAGU
RNAcentral lists this non-coding RNA (26 nucleotides) under Homo sapiens (human). Lineage: Eukaryota; Metazoa; Chordata; Mammalia; Primates; Hominidae. The record is from RNAcentral.